Molecule: unclassified non-coding RNA, 208 nt
Filed under: soil metagenome
Description: partial internal transcribed spacer 1
Source: RNAcentral
ACGAAUUUCGAUUCGGCCUUCUGUGCUGGUGGCAACACAUGUGCACGUUGAUCGUAAUUCCAUUCUCCUUUCAAUCGUCCAAGUGUGUUCGGUCGGCCUUUUGGGUCGAAGAAGCGUGGCCGUCAGGCUCGUUUCGUUCUGAGCGCACAUUGGUUAUUUCACCCACUCUGGGUACUCGAAACAAAGAAAACAAAUCAUAUAAAUUAAA